GUCCACCCAUCCAUCCGUACAGCCCAGAAAGUCACCGUCUUUCAUUCCCAACCUAACUUUCUUCCCUCUCUCUCUCUCACAUCUAUAAGCAACCAAUCCAAUCCCAUCUCUCUCUCGCAAACCACGACGACGACGACGAUGUUGGGUGUCCUCCGCAGCAAGGCUGGGUUCCUCCGCCGCCUCACCUCCCUCUCCGUCCCCCUCCGGCACCGGUCGAGCAAGGCGGCGGCGGCGGGUGGACAUGUGGUGGAGGUUGACAUGGCGGAGUACGACGUGGCGCUGAAGCACUUCGACGACCUAAUCCAGCGCAUCCUCGUCAAGAAGAACACACCGGACUGGCUCCCCUUCGUGCCCGGGUCCUCCUUCUGGGUCCCACCGCGCCUCUCUCCCUCCAACGUCGCCGACCUCGUCCACAAGCUCUCCUACGAGGACCACCGCCACCCCCACGAUUGCUCCCCUCUCCUCUCCACCCUCCGCGGCUGGCCCUCCGACAAUUUCUUCAUCGAUGAGAAUGAAUCUACUGAUGGUGAGGAUACUGAUAUAGAGAUAAAUGGCCCAGACGGGACGAACGGGACUGUGAAAGUGAAGGUUCUGACAUUUUCAGAAAAUGUAGCUCACUCAGAAGAUGAGGAAGGAUGAUCCAUAAUUUAGCCAAGCCAGUUGCUGCGGUUGACACUUGUGCCAAGCUACUUCACAAUUUAAGUUUUGAAGGCAUACGAUAGUGUGACACUAUUUUAUGAGGAAUGUCCUGGAAAUUUAAGCGAGUUAAGGCAGCAUAGAAGAAACUGGUGGAAGUGUUAUAGAUGGAUUAUCACUAUCAGGCUAUCACAAUGAUUCUUACGUUCAAUUAUGUACAUCUUUUGUGCUGAUGCUCGCUUUAUUGGCCUUGUGUCUGACAUUUUGCGGUUGGUAGCGGUAUAGCUUAUUUCUCAUUCUUUAAUCCAUAACUUUUGGCUUGGGGAAACAAGGGACAUCUCAAGAUGAAAGAGAACUAAAGGUUUUUUUAUGAUGCUAUGUAAGGUUGUGGAGAAGUCCAAAAAAAAAAGCAUGGGAAAAAAACCAAGCUCUCUGGAUGUUGGAAAGGACAGUGUGUGCAAAUGAAAAUUCCUUCAGGAUACAGAACUGUUGGUUCUUUUGGGAUUUAAACCCAUCUCACUCUGCAUGACUCAACAUUGAUCUGUUUAUUUGCAAUGCUAGGUUGAAUCCUUGUAGGCUGAAUGUAUAUAUUUAUUUAUCCAACUAAUAAAACACAGACAUUUUAGAAUAUUUUCCUCUAAACCAGCAAGGACUUGCUCAAUCUAGUGCACAUAUAAUUAUGUUGAUGUGUAUAUAAUUGUAAUAGACAUUUCUUUGGUGGUACAAAAGUGUAAUAGCCUUCAUGGGGCAACACUUCGAAAGUUUUUCAUUAAAGUCACACUCUAGCUUGAAUUUUAGCAUUAAGUUCCAUUA
Molecule: RNA transcript, 1449 nt
Organism: Glycine soja
Lineage: Eukaryota; Viridiplantae; Streptophyta; Magnoliopsida; Fabales; Fabaceae
Exons: 4
Source: RefSeq, a predicted model, not a curated record